GUCGACCCCUUAUCGGGGUUGCGGACAGUGCCUGGUGGGUAGUUUGACUGGGGCGGUCUCCUCCCAAAGAGUAACGGAGGAGCACGAAGGUGGGCUAAUCACGGUUGGACAUCGUGAGGUUAGUGCAAUGGCAUAAGCCCGCUUGACUGCGAGAAUGACAAUUCGAGCAGGUGCGAAAGCAGGUCAUAGUGAUCCGGUGGUUCUGAAUGGAAGGGCCAUCGCUCAACGGAUAAAAGGUACUCCGGGGAUAACAGGCUGAUACCGCCCAAGAGUUCAUAUCGACGGCGGUGUUUGGCACCUCGAUGUCGGCUCAUCACAUCCUGGGGCUGAAGUCGGUCCCAAGGGUAUGGCUGUUCGCCAUUUAAAGUGGUACGCGAGCUGGGUUUAGAACGUCGUGAGACAGUUCGGUCCCUAUCUGCCGUGGGCGUUGGAAGAUUGAAGGGGGCUGCUCCUAGUACAAGAGGACCGGAGUGGACGAACCUCUGGUGUGCCGGGUUGUGUUCGCCAGACGCAUUGCCCGGUAGCUAAGUUCGGAAUCGAUAACCGCUGAAAGCAUCUAAGCGGGAAGCGAGCCCUGAGAUGAGUCUUCCCUGAUACUUUAAGUAUCCUAAAGGGUUGUCGGAGACUACGACGUUGAUAGGUCAGGUGUGUAAAGUGCUGUGAGGCAUUGAGCUAACUGAUACUAAUUGCCCGUGAGGCUUAACCA
RNAcentral lists this ribosomal RNA (706 nucleotides) under Vibrio parahaemolyticus. Its description in RNAcentral is "bacterial LSU rRNA". It matches the Rfam family "Bacterial large subunit ribosomal RNA", at positions 2227 to 2925 of the family's 2925-position model. The record is from RNAcentral. Lineage: Bacteria; Pseudomonadati; Pseudomonadota; Gammaproteobacteria; Vibrionales; Vibrionaceae.